RNAcentral lists this ribosomal RNA (577 nucleotides) under uncultured bacterium. RNAcentral's name for it is "bacterial SSU rRNA". It matches the Rfam family "Bacterial small subunit ribosomal RNA", at positions 102 to 666 of the family's 1533-position model. The record is from RNAcentral.
ACGGGUGAGUAACACGUAGGCAACCUGCCUGCAAGCCUGGGAUAACUGCGGGAAACCGCAGCUAAUACCGGAUACGCAGUCGAGAUGCAUAUCUUGACUGGGAAAGGCGGAGCAAUCUGUCGCUUGUAGAUGGGCCUGCGGCGCAUUAGCUAGUUGGUGAGGUAACGGCUCACCAAGGCGACGAUGCGUAGCCGACCUGAGAGGGUGAUCGGCCACACUGGGACUGAGACACGGCCCAGACUCCUACGGGAGGCAGCAGUAGGGAAUCUUCCGCAAUGGACGCAAGUCUGACGGAGCAACGCCGCGUGAGUGAGGAAGGCCUUCGGGUCGUAAAGCUCUGUUGCCAGGGAAGAAUGUCGAGGAGAGUAACUGCUCUUCGAAUGACGGUACCUGAGAAGAAAGCCCCGGCUAACUACGUGCCAGCAGCCGCGGUAAUACGUAGGGGGCAAGCGUUGUCCGGAAUUAUUGGGCGUAAAGCGCGCGCAGGCGGCUUUGUAAGUCUGGUGUUUAAACCCGAAGCUCAACUUCGGGUCGCAUUGGAAACUGCAAGGCUUGAGUGCAGAAGAGGAAAGUGGAA